GACGAACGCUGGCGGCGUGCUUAACACAUGCAAGUCGAACGGAAAGGCCCCUUUGGGGGUGCUCGAGUGGCGAACGGGUGAGUAACACGUGGGUGAUCUGCCCUGCACUUUGGGAUAAGCCUGGGAAACUGGGUCUAAUACCGGAUAGGACUACGGGCUGCAUGGUCUGUGGUGGAAAGCUUUUGCGGUGUGGGAUGGGCCCGCGGCCUAUCAGCUUGUUGGGGGGGUGAUGGCCUACCAAGGCGACGACGGGUAGCCGGCCUGGGAGGGUGUCCGGCCACACUGGGACUGAGAUACGGCCCAGACUCCUACGGGAGGCAGCAGUGGGGAAUAUUGCACAAUGGGCGCAAGCCUGAUGCAGCGACGCCGCGUGAGGGAUGACGGCCUUCGGGUUGUAAACCUCUUUCAGCAUCGACGAAGCGCAAGUGACGGUAGAUGCAGAAGAAGCACCGGCCAACUACGUGCCAGCAGCCGCCGUAA
This 480-nucleotide ribosomal RNA is filed under the name uncultured bacterium. RNAcentral describes it as "partial 16S ribosomal RNA". It matches the Rfam family "Bacterial small subunit ribosomal RNA", at positions 28 to 523 of the family's 1533-position model. The record is from RNAcentral.